Molecule: RNase P RNA, 321 nt
Filed under: human gut metagenome
Description: Bacterial RNase P class A
Rfam family: Bacterial RNase P class A
About the family: Ribonuclease P (RNase P) is a ubiquitous endoribonuclease, found in archaea, bacteria and eukarya as well as chloroplasts and mitochondria. Its best characterised activity is the generation of mature 5'-ends of tRNAs by cleaving the 5'-leader elements of precursor-tRNAs. Cellular RNase Ps are ribonucleoproteins.
Source: RNAcentral
GCGGGCUGAAUGACCGCGGUGUAAAUACGAGGAAAGUCCGAGCUCCACAGGACAGGGUGCCGGGUAAUACCCGGUGGAGGCGACUCCAAGGAAAGUGCAACAGAAAUAUACCGCCGCAGCAAUGCGGUAAGGAUGGAAAGGCGAGGUAAGAGCUCACCGGCCCUCGGGAGACCGAGAGGCCCUGUAAACCCCACCCGGAGCAAGAUUGAUAGUGAGAUGUUAACGGCGGUCCGUCGGUCUCCGUGUAAUCGCUUAAGCCCAUUUGGCAACUAUGGGAAUAGAUAGAUGGUCAUUUUUAACAGAACUCGGCUUACAGGCCCG